Non-coding RNA from Pelobates cultripes (western spadefoot toad), 403 nucleotides. The record is from the annotation of a GenBank genome assembly. NCBI's taxonomy places the organism in Eukaryota, Metazoa, Chordata, Amphibia, Anura, Pelobatidae.
CCAUCACUUUGCCCACCACUUCUACACCAUCUGGCAGUCCGCACUAACUCAUUUUGUUUACUACUUACUGGAGCAUUCAUGGUGCUCCCUGGGCAUGUCCCUGCAGUCCAUAAAUGCUUCUCUAUGAGAAGCAUUUGAAUGGAACAUGGCCUGGAAGACGAUGAUGAUGGCAUUGAUGAUGGAAAAGGUGUAGAAAUGAUUGUGGACCAGCAAAAUGAUCGGGGACAGGUAAGGAUUUUUGAUGUUUUCAAACAUUAUUUGGGUAAUAAACAGGGGAGAACCUAGAAAAAUAUACAAAAAAUAUACAAACUAAUGGAUUCAGGCAAAUGUGUUAUAACUGGAAAACAAAAGUUUGAGAAACCCUUUAAUUAUUGAACAGUAAAACAAAAGAACUUGUGUGGUG